Molecule: ribosomal RNA, 839 nt
Filed under: uncultured bacterium
Lineage: Bacteria
Description: bacterial SSU rRNA
Rfam family: Bacterial small subunit ribosomal RNA
Source: RNAcentral
UGGUGCUUGCACCAGAUGACGAGUGGCGCACGGGUGCGUAACGCGUAUACAAUCUGCCUCUUACAGGGGGAUAGCCUUUGGAAACGAAGACUAAUACCCCAUAGUAUAUAGAGAUCGCAUGGUUUUUAUAUUAAAGAUUUAUCGGUAAGAGAUGAGUAUGCGUCCUAUUAGCUAGAUGGUGUGGUAACGGCACACCAUGGCAACGAUAGGUAGGGGCCCUGAGAGGGGGAUCCCCCACACUGGUACUGAGACACGGACCAGACUCCUACGGGAGGCAGCAGUGAGGAAUAUUGGACAAUGGGCGGAAGCCUGAUCCAGCCAUGCCGCGUGCAGGAAGACUGCCCUAUGGGUUGUAAACUGCUUUUGUACGGGAAGAAACCCACCUACGUGUAGGUGGCUGACGGUACCGUAAGAAUAAGCAUCGGCUAACUCCGUGCCAGCAGCCGCGGUAAUACGGAGGAUGCAAGCGUUAUCCGGAAUCAUUGGGUUUAAAGGGUCCGUAGGUGGACCGAUAAGUCAGAGGUGAAAGCCUGCAGCUCAACUGUAGAACUGCCUUUGAUACUGUCGGUCUUGAAUUAUUGUGAAGUGGUUAGAAUAUGUAGUGUAGCGGUGAAAUGCAUAGAUAUUACAUAGAAUACCGAUUGCGAAGGCAGAUCACUAACAAUAUAUUGACACUGAUGGACGAAAGCGUGGGGAGCGAACGGGAUUAGAUACCCCGGUAGUCCACGCCGUAAACGAUGGUCACUAGCUGUUCGGACUUCGGUCUGAGUGGCUAAGCGAAAGUGAUAAGUGACCCACCUGGGGAGUACGUUCGCAAGAAUGAAACUCAAAGGAAUUGA